Molecule: ribosomal RNA, 864 nt
Filed under: uncultured archaeon
Lineage: Archaea
Description: bacterial SSU rRNA
Rfam family: Archaeal small subunit ribosomal RNA
Source: RNAcentral
UUCCGGUUGAUCCUGCCGGACCCCACUGCUAUCGAGAUGGGACUAAGGUAUGCUAGUCGAACGACCAGAACUAUGUCUGGAAGUGGCACACUGCUCAGUAACACGUAGCUAACCUACCCUUAGGACGUGGAUACCCCCGAGAAAUUGGGGUUAAUCCGCGAUAGAUGUAAUGUCCUGGAAUGGUAUUACGCCUAAAGGUGUAUCAUACAUGUUUGAUAUACGCCUAAGGAUGGGGCUGCGGCCGAUCAGGCUGUUGGUGAGGUAAUGGCUCACCAAACCUUUGACCGGUACGGGCCAUGAGAGUGGUAGCCCGGAGAUGGACACUGAGACAAGGGUCCAGGCCCUAAGGGGCGCAGCAACCGCGAAACCUCCACAAUGCACUCACGUGCGAUGGGGCUAUCUCGAGUGCCGCCUGAUGAAGGUGGCUUUUCCUUGGUCUUCAAAGCCUUGGGAAUAAGAGGGGGGCAAGACUGGUGUCAGCCGCCGCGGUAACACCAGCCCCUCGAGUGGUGGGGAUGAUUAUUUGGCCUAAAGCGUCCGUAGCCGGCCGAGUAAGUCCCCCGUUAAAUCCAGCGUCUCAAGCGUUGGACUGCGGGAGAUACUACAUGGCUAGAGAGUGGGAGAGGUCAGCGGUAUUCUGGGGGUAGGGGCGAAAUCCUUUGAUCCCCGGAGGACCACCAGUGGCGAAGGCUGCUGACUAGAACACGUCUGACGGUCAGGGACGAAAGCUGGGGUAGCGAACCGGAUUAGAUACCCGGGUAGUCCCAGCCGUAAACGAUGCAUGCUAGGUGUUGGGUUGGCCACGAGCCACCCCAGUGCCGCAGGGAAGCCGUUAAGCAUGCCGCCUGGGAAGUACGAUCGCAA